CCUUAUUUUGGUCAGCGCCGGGGCGUCGACGACUAGAGGGGCAUGGCGCUGUGGCUCUUGCGCGCCGCUCGGAAGCGCCACCGGUGGGCACCGCCCGCCGACCUCUCCUCCCUCUUCCCCUUCUCCUCUCCGCGUCAGAACCCCAACAAGCCCUUCACCGGCCCCCGUGAGCUCGGAGCUCCGAUCCCGCCGCGUAGGCACCCCCGCUCGUGGCCGCCGCGGCCGCCGACGCUCCUCGAUGGACUCCCCCGUUCUCUGUCACUCGCUUCGAUAUACGGAGCCUCCGGGAGCACCCCGGAGGAUGGUGGGCCCCGGUCGCCUGACGGUGAAGCCGGAACGGCGGCCCCGCCGUCGUGGGUCGAUGCGUACUUGCCGGUGUCGGUGCGUCCGUAUGCUCUCCUCGCGCGGCUAGAUAAGCCUAUCGGGACUUGGCUGCUGGCCUGGCCCUGCGGAUGGUCAAUUACUCUGGCAGCAACCCCUGGAAACCUCCCUGACAUUAAGAUGUUGGCUUUGUUUGGUUGUGGAGCUGUGCUUCUAAGAGGUGCUGGUUGCACUGUGAAUGACCUCCUUGACCGUGACAUUGAUAUUAAGGUUGAAAGAACAAAAUAUAGGCCAAUUGCAUGUGGUGUUUUGACACCAUUUCGAGGUCUUUGCUUUCUUGGUUUUCAACUUCUAUUGGGUUUAGGAAUUUUGCUACAACUCAAUAAUUACAGCCGUAUUCUUGGUGCAUCAUCUCUGUUGCUGGUUUUCUCAUAUCCUCUUAUGAAGAGACUGACAUUUUGGCCUCAAGCAUACUUAGGUUUGACCUUCAAUUGGGGAGCUUUGUUAGGCUGGGCUGCUGUCAAAGAAAGCUUAGAUCCUGCAAUUGUCCUGCCAAUGUAUGGUGCUGGUGUCUGUUGGACACUUGUAUAUGAUACGAUAUAUGCACAUCAGGAUAAGGAAGAUGACCAAAAGGUGGGUGUUAAAUCAACGGCAUUGAGGUUUGGAAGUUCCACGAAGUACUGGAUUACAGGAUUUGGAAUUGCAUGCAUAAGUAAUCUAGCUCUCAGCGGAUAUAAUGCAGAGCUUGCAUGGCCAUUUUAUCCAUUUCUCGUAGCUGCUGCUGGGCAAUUAGGAUGGCAGAUAUUGACUGUUGACUUGUCUAAUCGUGCAGAUUGUAACAGAAAAUUUGUUUCAAACAAGUGGUUCGGAGCUCUUGUAUUCAGCGGAAUCUUAUUCGGUCGUCUAGCUUCAUGAAGGUUUCUAAUGGACUGGUACUGCUGGCUGAAGUUAGCAAUCGUUAUGUGAGUACUAUAUGGGCAAUGUGGGUUCAAGGCUUCAUAACAUGGGAGAAUGAUGGCUGUUCAAUGCCUCCUGAUCUCAAUCCCAAUUCGAGUUGGUAGACAGUUUUGCAUCCCAAAUUUUGUAUAUUACCUUAAUGUUCAACUAUUUUAUGAGGGUACUAAAAUAUGUUAGGUUCAGCAAAUUGUAUCGUAAUAGUCGUCCGUUUUCAUUCAAUCAUUAAAAUUUAAACUUUGUAAUUAUACUUUUACAAUGCUUUCGUGUAUUGUUUUAACUCAUAAUGUCACAUUUGAAAUUAAAUUCUUAUUAUAAUUUGAUUGCGAGUU
Molecule: RNA transcript, 1607 nt
Organism: Musa acuminata subsp. malaccensis (wild Malaysian banana)
Lineage: Eukaryota; Viridiplantae; Streptophyta; Magnoliopsida; Zingiberales; Musaceae
Gene name: 4-hydroxybenzoate polyprenyltransferase, mitochondrial-like
Source: RefSeq, a predicted model, not a curated record